Non-coding RNA from Mycena galopus ATCC 62051, 96 nucleotides. NCBI's taxonomy places the organism in Eukaryota, Fungi, Basidiomycota, Agaricomycetes, Agaricales, Mycenaceae. The record is from the annotation of a GenBank genome assembly.
GCGUGUCUGGUGUAGCAGUAACACAUGUUGUGCAAGUUAUUGGCUAUAUAAUGAUUUGCGUCACACAAGAGGAGGGUUCAAAUCCCUCAGCGCGCA